GAAAAUAUGUAGACCUAACAUCUAUCUCCCUGCUCCAGUUUCAAGAGAAAAGACCUUAUUCAGAGAAAUAUUUAGAAGACUCUUGUGGAAUUCUUGCUGAAGAAGCUUAAAUGACUCUUCUUGCUCACAUACUUCCUGGGCAAACAUGUCUGCUCUGUUGGGAUAAAGGACGCUCUAGACCAGGCUCUGCUGAAAGAUCCAGGGCAAAGGUUCCUGACAAGACUAUGUCCAGCCUCAAAUAAGGCCACAGAAGAGCCCAGGCUCGCUGACGAGCACCGGCUCCGAGGCAGUCACAUCAGGAGACAGAAACAGACAUGUUGGUGCUGCCCUCUCAGGUCAGUGCAAAUGCCACUUGAGGAGGGCUGAGAGCUUUGCAGCAUAAAAUGACCAGAACAAGGAGAAACACAGAUGCAAUGGCAAUAGCUGGCAAUUCGCACAUGGCGU
Molecule: long non-coding RNA, 444 nt
Filed under: Homo sapiens (human)
Lineage: Eukaryota; Metazoa; Chordata; Mammalia; Primates; Hominidae
Description: non-protein coding lnc-TGIF1-10:1
Source: RNAcentral